AAAGGUAGCAUAAUCACUUGUCUCUUAAUUGGGGACUAGUAUGAAUGGCAUAACGAGGGCUCAGCUGUCUCUUAUUCCUAAUCAGUGAAAUUGACCUUCCCGUGCAGAGGCGGGAAUUAUUAUACAAGACGAGAAGACCCUGUGGAGCUUUAGUCGAAUAACUCAAAACAUACUAACAUAUAACCUACCGGAACAGCCCGUAUAAUCCCCUGAGUUAUAGUCUUUGGUUGGGGUGACCUCGGAGCAUAAAACAACCUCCGAAUGAAAUAACCUAGAUUAACGAAUCUAAGUGUAACAAUACCAGUAAUUGACCCAUCUUUUGAUCAACGGAACAAGUUACCCCAGGGAUAACAGCGCAAUCCUAUUUGAGAGCCCAUAUCGAAAAUUAGGGUUUACGACCUCGAUGUUGGAUCAGGACACCCAAAUGGUGCAACCGCUAUUAAAGGUUCGUUUGUUCAACGAUUAAAGUCCUACGUGAUCUGAGUUCAGACCGGAGAAAUCCAGGUCGGUUUCUAUCUGUAAAUUCAUUUCUCCCAGUACGAAAGGACAAGAGAAAUAGGGCCAACGUCCCAAAUAAGCCCUAGAGCCAACAUAUGAACAAAUCUAAAUAUACUAAACCAAUCUAUAACCCCCCCCCCAAGAAAAAGGGUUAUUAAAA
This 658-nucleotide ribosomal RNA is filed under the name Myoictis melas (three-striped marsupial mouse). Its description in RNAcentral is "partial 16S ribosomal RNA". It matches the Rfam family "Bacterial large subunit ribosomal RNA", at positions 1952 to 2925 of the family's 2925-position model. The record is from RNAcentral. Lineage: Eukaryota; Metazoa; Chordata; Mammalia; Dasyuromorphia; Dasyuridae.